AAUCGUAACAAGGUUUCCGUAGGUGAACCUGCGGAAGGAUCAUUAACGAGUUUUGACAUGGGUUGUAGCUGGCCUCACGAGGCAUGUGCACGCCCUGCUCAUCCACUCUACACCUGUGCACUUACUGUAGGUUUGGUGUGGGCUUUCGGGGCCUUCACGGGCUUUGAGAGCAUUCUGCCUGCCUAUGUAUCACUAUAAACACUACGAAGUAACAGAAUGUAAUCGCGUCUAACGCAUCUUAAUACAACUUUCAGCAACGGAUCUCUUGGCUCUCGCAUCGAUGAAGAACGCAGCGAAAUGCGAUAAGUAAUGUGAAUUGCAGAAUUCAGUGAAUCAUCGAAUCUUUGAACGCACCUUGCGCUCCUUGGUAUUCCGAGGAGCAUGCCUGUUUGAGUGUCAUGGUAUUCUCAACCCACACAUCCUUGUGAUGCUUGUGAGGCUUGGACUUGGAGGCUUGCUGGCCCAUCGCGGUCGGCUCCUCUUGAAUGCAUUAGCUUGGUUCCUUGCGGAUCGGCUCUCAGUGUGAUAAUUGUCUACGCUGUGACCGUGAAGCGUUUGGCGAGCUUCUAACCGUCCUGCUAGGGACAACUUACUUGACAUCUGACCUCAAAUCAGGUAGGACUACCCGCUGAACUUAAGCAUAUCAAUAAGCGGAGGAAAAGAAACUAACAAGGAUUCCCCUAGUAACUGCGAGUGAAGCGGGAAAAGCUCAAAUUUAAAAUCUGGCGGUC
This 731-nucleotide ribosomal RNA is filed under the name Trametes cubensis. Its description in RNAcentral is "eukaryotic LSU rRNA". The stretch from base 246 to 399 matches the Rfam family "5.8S ribosomal RNA". Lineage: Eukaryota; Fungi; Basidiomycota; Agaricomycetes; Polyporales; Polyporaceae. The record is from RNAcentral.